This 497-nucleotide ribosomal RNA is filed under the name uncultured bacterium. Its description in RNAcentral is "partial 16S ribosomal RNA". It matches the Rfam family "Bacterial small subunit ribosomal RNA", at positions 28 to 507 of the family's 1533-position model. The record is from RNAcentral.
GAUGAACGCUGGCGGCGUGCCUAAUACAUGCCAGUCGAGCGAACAGACGAGGAGCUUGCUCCUCUGAUGUUAGCGGCGGACGGGUGAGUAACACGUGGAUAACCUACCUAUAAGACUGGGAUAACUUCGGGAAACCGGAGCUAAUACCGGAUAAUAUAUUGAACCGCAUGGUUCAAUAGUGAAAGACGGUUUUGCUGUCACUUAUAGAUGGAUCCGCGCCGCAUUAGCUAGUUGGUAAGGUAACGGCUUACCAAGGCAACGAUGCGUAGCCGACCUGAGAGGGUGAUCGGCCACACUGGAACUGAGACACGGUCCAGACUCCUACGGGAGGCAGCAGUAGGGAAUCUUCCGCAAUGGGCGAAAGCUUGACGGAGCAACGCCGCGUGAGUGAUGAAGGUCUUCGGAUCGUAAAACUCUGUUAUUAGGGAAGAACAAAUGUGUAAGUAACUAUGCACGUCUUGACGGUACCUAAUCAGAAAGCCACGGCUAACUACGUG